UAUUGCACAAUGGGGGAAACCCUGAUGCAGCAACGCCGCGUGAGUGAAGAAGUAUUUCGGUAUGUAAAGCUCUAUCAGCAGGGAAGAAGAAAGACGGUACCUGACUAAGAAGCCCCGGCUAACUACGUGCCAGCAGCCGCGGUAAUACGUAGGGGGCAAGCGUUAUCCGGAUUUACUGGGUGUAAAGGGAGCGUAGACGGCAGUGCAAGUCCGGAGUGAAAGCCCGGGGCUCAACCCUGGGACUGCUCUGGAAACUGUAAAGCUGGAGUGCGGGAGGGGCAGGCGGAAUUCCUGGUGUAGCGGUGAAAUGCGUAGAUAUCAGGAGGAACACCGGCGGCGAAGGCGGCCUGCUGGACCGUAACUGACGUUGAGGCUCGAAAGCGUGGGGAGCAAACAGG
This 398-nucleotide ribosomal RNA is filed under the name uncultured bacterium. RNAcentral describes it as "bacterial SSU rRNA". It matches the Rfam family "Bacterial small subunit ribosomal RNA", at positions 362 to 776 of the family's 1533-position model. The record is from RNAcentral.